GGAGAGAGAAGAAGGAGAAAAUGGAAGAGGGAGAGGAUGCAGAGGUGGAGGAAAACAAAGAAAAGCAGAGCAGAAGCCCAUCGCCUGGGGAAACUGCAAGUUCUAAGGGGUCUCAUAAGCUGUGGAAGAUGGUAGCAUAGUGGUAGAUCUGUCCAAUCUUGGUGCACAGCAUGUAACCAUAUUAACUGAGUUGUUUUUUCAUUGCUGGGGCAUAUUUGGGAGGAGAUUUACAUCAACACCAUGGUGUUACCACAAUGCUAUUCCAAGAUGCCUUCCAGGCUCGAACCUGGACAUGUGAGCCGCUGGCUGGCCUCAACAAUUUGGCAAACCAAUGCAGGACCUGAGAAAGGCAGAGGACAUUUGGAAGAAACACUGCUGAUUUGUAGCUCCAUGCAAGAAGAAAAGAAUUAAAAUUCGUACCACAGAAGCUACCUUAUUAGGGAAUUGAAAAACAUAGGUUCUCUCCAUGGAACACUGCAGAAGCAUGAUGGCUAAUUCGUUUGACAAGCUGGCAGGGCCAAGAUACCUGGCUUAUGACUAGGUCAUUUACAAUAAAGUACCUGCUGUACAGCUGCCAAGCUUGCUAUAUAAGUGUGCAAAAAUUUGGAAUUCAGACCACAAGAAUGCUGUCUGAGUCUUCAGGCACCUGGUCAUCUGGGUCCAGGUUGAUGCUGCAGCAUGUCUUCUAACCCGCCUACCACCAGAGGGCAGCAGCGUACAUUCACAACAAUUGUUGAGAAGUGGAAGCCGAUGAAUCUUAUGUGCAGAAGAGGACAUAGCAAAAGAAGAAGCAUUCCAUACCACCUGCGUUCAUGCCUGCCAUGCCCUGGAUUUGGGCCCCCAUCUGAACCAUCUCCUGCACAUAACCAUGCUAUCAUAAUGAGGAAUCUUGAGAUCUGUGACAAUCUCUCUCUUCUCCCCAGCCCACAGCUCCAUCACACCCUACUCUAAUCACUAAGGAUCACUCAAGAUACUUCACUGUCUUCUGUUUUUCCAAAGUCCCUAAGUCACUUUAAGACUUUCUAUGUCCUCUGUAAACAGUCACAUACUCAUGUCUGGGGCUAGGUAUACAUGUGGAGAUAAGAGUGCAAGAGACAAGAAUGAAGGAGAGAAAAGUGAGGAAGGAAAAAUAAAGAGCUAUUUAUGUGGUAGGUCUGUGUUCCCCAAACACCAUGGGAUGAUCCAAGGAUAUCCAGCAUAAGGUGUGACUUCUUCAAAAUAGCCUUGAGUGAGCAGCUUAGCCCAGAGAAGACCUAAGGAUCCAAAGCAUUGCUGCAUAUUACUCUUAUGUGCAAAGAGGCCAGGAAGCUAUCCCAGGAAAUUUCAUCACAUCCCUCAAUGGCAGAUGCAUUCUACUGAGAAGAGAGCAACGGGUUCACUUGGCAAAUAUUGCUGUCACAUGAUGUCAAUGUAUCUGCAUCUCCUAUGACUUUAACUCAUCUGGAGCACUGCCUGCCUCAGGAGCCAGCACUUUUCCAAGCUGCCACAGGUCAACCUGGUCCUUGGUUUUCCUAAAGACUCCUUAGUCUGAGGGAAUUUACUUUCCCAUACUUCUGAGACCCAAAUAACCCAUUUCCCAAAUCCAGCCAGGAAAACCAAAUGGAAAUAUUUGGGGCAUCUAUGAGAAAAUUCUCCUUCAGGUCAGCAUCACUCUGUGAAGGCCAAGUUACCCUUAUCUCAAGUCUACACCAAUGGUAAUGAAUUUUUAAUAAAAAUUUCUCAGGAGAAAUUUCUUUUACUAUGACUGGCCUUUUUGUUUAAUCUCAAAACCAGAGUUAAUAAUAUACUCUGAGGUUACUUCAGACGUAGAACAAUGCCAGUGUAUGCUUUUCCUUUGUAUAACCUGUCCUUAAGGGACUAAUGGAACAACCAACCUUACUUGCCUUGAGUUUUAAGUAACCAAUCAUUAUAAUCUGAUGUAAGGCAUAGCUGUUAUUUUAAAAUAUGUUUUUCAAUGCUUCUGACCCAGAGUGUAAUGAAUUUUUAUCUAUGUAAGUGUUACAAUGAUCACAUUUGGAAAAUGGUAAAUAGGAUAAAAGCUGUUUUUAAAAAUGAAUACCCACCACAAAUAUUGAAUAAAACAUACAAAUAGUGCAUG
This 2098-nucleotide long non-coding RNA is filed under the name Mus musculus (house mouse). RNAcentral describes it as "predicted gene 14552". Lineage: Eukaryota; Metazoa; Chordata; Mammalia; Rodentia; Muridae. The record is from RNAcentral.